RNAcentral lists this ribosomal RNA (465 nucleotides) under uncultured bacterium. RNAcentral's name for it is "partial 16S ribosomal RNA". It matches the Rfam family "Bacterial small subunit ribosomal RNA", at positions 339 to 795 of the family's 1533-position model. The record is from RNAcentral.
CUACGGGUUGCAGCAGUGGGGAAUAUUGGACAAUGGGGGAAACCCUGAUCCAGCAAUGCCGCGUGUGUGAAGAAGGCCUGCGGGUUGUAAAGCACUUUCGGUUGGGAGGACUGCUUCUAGCACUAAUAUUGUUGGAAGUUGACGUUACCUUCAGAAGAAGCACCGGCUAACUCCGUGCCAGCAGCCGCGGUAAUACGGAGGGUGUAAGCAUUAAUCGGAAUUACUGGGCGUAAAGCGCGCGUAGGCGGCUAGAUCAGUCGGGUGUGAAAGCCCCGGGCUUAACCUGGGAACUGCAUCCGAUACUGUCUAGCUUGAGUACAGGAGAGGAGAGUGGAAUUCCACAUGUAGCGGUGAAAUGCGUAGAUAUGUGGAGGAACACCAAUGGCGAAGGCAGCUCUCUGGCCUGAUACUGACGCUGAGGUGCGAAAGCGUGGGGAGCAAACAGGAUUAGAUACCCUUGUAGUC